Molecule: unclassified non-coding RNA, 237 nt
Filed under: Hevea brasiliensis (rubber tree)
Lineage: Eukaryota; Viridiplantae; Streptophyta; Magnoliopsida; Malpighiales; Euphorbiaceae
Source: RNAcentral
AAAAAAAAAAAAAAAAAAUCUUAUCGCAGAAGAAGAUUGCAAAGAAAUGAGCUGGAUUGAGUCCAUUCUAUUCUUCUCAGGCCUAAGUGAAGGAAGCUCUGUAUCCGACUUGAAAAACCGAUAUUUGCAAGGGAAGCAUUACUUCAAGGCCAAAUCAGACUAUGUGAGGAGGGAAAUUUCUUUAGCAGGUAUAAAAGGUGCCUUGGAUGUAAUUGAAAUGGAGCCUAAGUGUCUGUU